UACGUAGGGUGCGAGCGUUAAUCGGAAUUACUGGGCGGAAAGCGUGCGCAGGCGGUUCUCCAAGUCCGUUGUGAAAGCCCCGGGCUCAACCUGGGAAUGGCAGUGGAAACUAGGGGACUGGAAUCUGGCAGAGGGGGGUGGAAUGCCGCGUGUAGCAGUGAAAUGCGUAGAGAUGCGGCGGAACACCGAUGGCGAAGGCAGCCCCCUGGGCUGAGAUUGACGCUCAGGCACGAAAGCGUGGGGAGCAAACAGG
RNAcentral lists this ribosomal RNA (253 nucleotides) under uncultured bacterium. RNAcentral's name for it is "partial 16S ribosomal RNA". It matches the Rfam family "Bacterial small subunit ribosomal RNA", at positions 524 to 776 of the family's 1533-position model. The record is from RNAcentral.